This 340-nucleotide long non-coding RNA is filed under the name Dermacentor andersoni. RNAcentral's name for it is "uncharacterized LOC126530602". The record is from RNAcentral. Lineage: Eukaryota; Metazoa; Arthropoda; Arachnida; Ixodida; Ixodidae.
AUUUGAAGUUGUAGCCAAAAAUAUAAAGAAUCAUCCUUGUCUGCAUGAAUGCUUUCAAUUUCUAAAAGCAGUGGUAACUAUCACUAUUAGUGCAAGGCCCCCCACAUCUAUGCGGCAAGUGCCAUAGCUCGAAACUGAAUUUUUUCUGUAGUGUUUCACAAGGCGUCUGAUAUGUCCACAUUAGAUAUGUGAUGUGUUUAUUUUUAUUUAUCCCAGUGUGGAGAGGGCAUCGUUAAAUUGUUUUUUUAUUUUUGCAUGUCUUGUUUUUUGGUUUAUUUCUGAAUUUAUCAAGCAGCUGUCUCAUGAUGCUAAAGUGACUUAUGUAAUGGCAAUCAGCUUU